GGGGUUGUGUCAAGGUCGGAGAAGGUUCUGAUGAAAUGUCAGAUGAAAUGUCAGACACAGCGGGGGAAAGCCUAGGACACUCCAACUGGACGUCUGCCGGCUCUGACGUUUUUUGGGGGGAGUUAUAUUCGCAAAAUUCCUUUGGUUAUGCAAUACAGAGGUGAAGUCCUCAGUUUAUUAACGAGCACAAUGGAGGUCCAGUUAAUGAGGAUAAAAACCGCCAACGAACGUGAUUUAACUCGAAACUUAUGACGAAGUGGAAUACCCAGUGCGUAAAAAACACGAGUACUUGACUACGUCCGAUCCUCCUGAUAUAAACGCAGAAAGACUUUGGGUGACAUUCCGUCAUUUAUUUAACAUCCAUGGAAGGAGUCUCCAGUGUCGGACGUAAAGCUGUAACGUGAUCCUGAAAAGUGAAGCCUCAUGUGUUUGUUUGUUUGUUUUUUUCCUCCCCCUCUGGCUCUGAUGUCCUGUACUCGAGUAGAGAGUAGAGCUGACCGGAUCAUACAACCUCACACUCAUUAGUCUCUCACACACACCCCGCAUCCUCAUUCUUCUCUGGAUAACGGCCUAACACAGAGCUCUUUAUGCCUGGUACUUCAGUUCAGUGCACAUCACUUUGUGCUCAGUGGUCUGGUAAAGUGUUUUCCCCCAACACUUUUAACUUUCACUCCCAUUCACGCUCUCGCUUUUCCUCAUAGCAGCAAGAUCCCGAUUAACGAGGUGAACCCGAAUGCAGGAGCGCAGGAACAUGAUGCAUCUAUUUAUUUCAGUCGUGAUAACGGUGUGAUCGGAGUUUUAAUUCAGUCCGGUGUUAUUUAUAUACUCUUUUAAUGACGGGCAUUUACAGAAAGCAGCAGUAGUCGAAGCUACUGCUGUUGCCCCAGUUGUUGAAGCGGUACGGGUUACCCCGGAAGUUGAGGAAGCCCCAGUCGUUCUGGUUGUUGAAGCGGGUACGGGUUACCCCGGAAGUUGAGGAAGCCCUGGUUGCUCCAGUUGUUGAAGCGGUAUCUGUUACCCUGGUAGUAGUGGAAGCCCCAGUUGCUCCAAUUGCUCGAGAGGUACCAGUUACCCCGGCAGUAAAGGAAGAUGCUAUUGCCCCAGUAGUUGAAGAGGUACCAGUUACCCCAACAGUAAAGGAAGAUGCUGUAAUAGUUGAGGAGGUCCAAUUUACCCAAACAGUACAGGAAGUUUUUUUGCCCUAGUAGUUGAAGUGGUACCAUUUACCCCAGCAGUAGGUGCAGCCCCGGUUGCUCCAGUAGUCGAGUAGGUACCAGUUACACCAGCAGCAGAGGAAGCCUCUGUUGCCCCAGGUGAGGGCAUUUUCAGCCGUGUUUUGGUUAUUUGUUGUGUUCUAGUUUGUUUUCUUAUCUUUUAUGCCCUUUAAUUUUUGGAAGCUCCUCUGUGACAAAAAAAAAAAAAAGCAAAGUUCACCGGGAACAUUUCUUAAAAGCUGUGUGCUUCAGGUAGGAUAACAUAAGGUGAGCUGUAGGUUGAGGAAGCUGUGUGAUGAGAGUAGACUGUCUGUGUUUUAUAUCCAGGGAAAGCCCCUGUGAUCGGACAUGGAGAAAAUCACCUGAAUUUACUGCCCCUGCUGUUUCAUAGAACUGAACGUGAGGUGUUCUUUCAGCGGAGGUCUGUUAUUGACCUUUCUCUAACAGAUGUCUGCUGGAGUGGGUUUUAUUCUCCAUGUUUGCUCGUGUCAGCUGAUCAUGACCUCCAGAUGAUGUCUCAAUGUCGG
Ictalurus punctatus (channel catfish) is the source of this 1741-nucleotide long non-coding RNA. Lineage: Eukaryota; Metazoa; Chordata; Actinopteri; Siluriformes; Ictaluridae. The record is from Ensembl.